RNAcentral lists this ribosomal RNA (468 nucleotides) under uncultured bacterium. RNAcentral's name for it is "partial 16S ribosomal RNA". It matches the Rfam family "Bacterial small subunit ribosomal RNA", at positions 28 to 507 of the family's 1533-position model. The record is from RNAcentral.
GACGAACGCUGGCGGCGUGCUUAACACAUGCAAGUCGAACGGAAAGGCCCUGCUCUUGUGGGGUGCUCGAGUGGCGAACGGGUGAGUAACACGUGAGUAACCUGCCCUUGACUUUGGGAUAACUUCAGGAAACUGGGGCUAAUACCGGAUAGGAGCUCCUGCUGCAUGGUGGGGGUUGGAAAGAUUCGGCGGUUGGGGAUGGACUCGCGGCUUAUCAGCUUGUUGGUGGGGUAGUGGCUUACCAAGGCUUUGACGGGUAGCCGGCCUGAGAGGGUGACCGGCCACAUUGGGACUGAGAUACGGCGCAGACUCCUACGGUAGGCAACAGUGGGGAGUAUUGCACAGUGGGCGGAAGCCUGAGGCGGCGACGCCGCGUGCGGGAUGACGGCCUUCGGGGUGUAAACCGCUUUCGCCUGUGACGAAGCGUGAGUGACGGUAAUGGGUAAAGAAGCACCGGCUAACUACGUG